This is a non-coding RNA of Aspergillus pseudonomiae, 86 nucleotides long. NCBI's taxonomy places the organism in Eukaryota, Fungi, Ascomycota, Eurotiomycetes, Eurotiales, Aspergillaceae. The record is from the annotation of a RefSeq genome assembly.
CCCCUGAUGGUCUAGUUGGAUAUGGCGUCCGGCUGCAAUGGAUUACCUUGUAACCGGAAGGUCGCCGGCUAUUCCGGCUCGGAGGA